AGUGAACGCUGGCGGUAGGCCUAACACAUGCAAGUCGAACGGCAGCACAGUAAGAGCUUGCUCUUACGGGUGGCGAGUGGCGGACGGGUGAGGAAUACAUCGGAAUCUACUUUUUCGUGGGGGAUAACGUAGGGAAACUUACGCUAAUACCGCAUACGACCUACGGGUGAAAGCAGGGGAUCUUCGGACCUUGCGCGAUUGAAUGAGCCGAUGUCGGAUUAGCUAGUUGGCGGGGUAAAGGCCCACCAAGGCGACGAUCCGUAGCUGGUCUGAGAGGAUGAUCAGCCACACUGGAACUGAGACACGGUCCAGACUCCUAAGGGAGGCAGCAGUGGGGAAUAUUGGACAAUGGGCGCAAGCCUGAUCCAGCCAUACCGCGUGGGUGAAGAAGGCCUUCGGGUUGUAAAGCCCUUUUGUUGGGAAAGAAAAGCAGCAGGUUAAUACCCCGCUGUUCUGACGGUACCCAAAGAGUAAGCACCGGCUAACUUCGUG
RNAcentral lists this ribosomal RNA (492 nucleotides) under uncultured bacterium. Its description in RNAcentral is "partial 16S ribosomal RNA". It matches the Rfam family "Bacterial small subunit ribosomal RNA", at positions 29 to 507 of the family's 1533-position model. The record is from RNAcentral.